Molecule: ribosomal RNA, 464 nt
Filed under: uncultured bacterium
Lineage: Bacteria
Description: partial 16S ribosomal RNA
Rfam family: Bacterial small subunit ribosomal RNA
Source: RNAcentral
CUACGGGCCGCAGCAGUGAGGAAUUUUGCGCAAUGGGGGAAACCCUGACGCAGCAACGCCGCGUGAGCGAAGAAGGCCCUCGGGUCGUAAAGCUCUGUCAAGUGGGAAAAAAAUCUUUUGAUCAAUAGUCAAAAGACUUGAUGGUACCACUGGAGGAAGCACCGGCUAACUCCGUGCCAGCAGCCGCGGUAAUACGGAGGGUGCAAGCGUUGUUCGGAUUUACUGGGCGUAAAGAGCGUGUAGGCGGUUUAGCAAGUCAGAUGUGAAAGCCCUGGGCUCAACCCGGGAAGUGCAUUUGAAACUGCUUCAAUAGAGUAUGGGAGAGGAGAGUGGAAUUCCUGGUGUAGAGGUGAAAUUCGUAGAUAUCAGGAGGAACACCCGUGGCGAAGGCGAUUCUCUGGACCAAUACUGACGCUGAGACGCGAAAGCGUGGGGAGCAAACAGGAUUAGAUACCCGGGUAGUC